UCAUAGCAGCAUCUGUUGUGCUUCUCAGCAUUGGUAAUGAGAUCCCCAGGCCUGAUUAAGACCAUGUCCAGAGGGAACCUGCAAAGAACCCAAAUGGCAACUAAAAAAGCUAGCAGCAUUUGAUAUGAGUGCUGUCUAUAUACUGAUGUUGGUUAUUGGAUAAGUCCGGUAUCUUCUGAUGAAGCAGUGGAAAUCUAUGGUUCUCUGCCAAUGCUGCUUGAAUCGAAAGGUGAGAAGGCAGUUCCUCUGAAGGUCUGACUCUACCCUCUGAAGAAACUGGACAAGACCUCUGUGUGUGCUGUUCUCAGUGGAGUCAGUGAAAGCUUGUUGAAUAGAGCGGAGAACAUUCUGGAACAAUAGAGUAAACCGAUCAGGAUGUGUGAGGACCACAUGUCAGACUAUGAUAAUCUGAGUGUGAUUACAUGGUUUCCUGCUUUAAAUGGCAUACUUGAAUGCUUUUCAAAAGUUCUACUGGAAUAUAUGACAGAGUUGCAGAAUAGAAUGGCUGAAAUUCUCAAAUCUAUUAGUUUGAAAAGAGAAGAGGGAGAAAAUACUUUCAAAGUACUUAUCAGCAGUAUUAAUCAAUCACUGUUCAGUCCAGAGAACACACAGCAGUGGCUGGAGAAUAAGGAAACUGAAUUGGUAGUUUUAAAUGGGUGCAGAGAAGCAAACAUCACUAUUGUGAAAUCUCAAAUGGAGCUCCAAAGUGUAAAUGAUCCACAGAUUAGCAGGGUGUUCUGCUUCACUCUUUUCUCAAUAGACUCUGAAGAUUCUUUCCUCACAGCUCUAAAGCAGCACAUUGAAUCAAUGAAAAGUGUGCAUUAACUUUAUCAGAUUACAUAAAGCCAGAAGAUUCACUACAGUCACUCAAACCUGUUUGUACCAGUCAGAAAGUGCUUUUUGACCUGCAAGUAUUUAUCGCUAUGCAAGAGGUAACUGAAGAUACAGAGUUAAUUGCUGCAUCUGUAUCUGAUGAUGGUCUUCAUGAAUACUCUGUGCAGUUUUGUCAUGCUGGGAGGAUUGUGAGCAGAAAUGUGAAUCUUGGAACAAGUUCAGAUCUUGCCCAAAUAUCUCAGAUAAAACACAAUAGUGUGUCUCUAAAACUGAAUCAAGAAUAAAACAGAAGCACUGAGAGGUUUGUAGUGGAGUACAAGUUUUUUGCUAACGAUGGAAGGAUCAACAGUCCUUGGAAACAGAUCAUCUUUGAAGCCAAAACUCUUGAGGAAACCUGCAUUAUAUCAAGUCUAAGGUGAGGCCGACAAUUUCAGCGGUAUUUGGUUGUUGAGCAGGACUGUAUGAGCAACUUUAGUGAGAUUAUUAACUUUAAGACAGUAUUUGCAGCACCUGCAGAUCUGUGGGGAGAGUCCUGGGCCUCUCACCUUCAAAACUAAACCUGACUCUAAACCCACAAGUCAUCUCUGCCAAAGGAGUCACACGACUCUUUAAACACAUCACACACCUGAAGAAACUGAGGUUGAGCCCCAGCUUCAUGCUGUCUAUCAUGAUGGAGAUUUACAAAACUCGCUCUCAUCAGUAUGUGUCCAGUCUGUUAAGUUCAGAAGAGAAUUACAUCAACCUCCACUGCUCUGGACCUCAAUACCAGAGGGGCAGCAACAGAGUCUCUAACCUCAGUGUUGACAGUCUGUUGUUGCUGAAGCUGCUUCAUUGCAUCCGUUCCUCUGAUCACCAGUUCUUCAGAACACACUGGACUUCUCCUGCUGCUCUGCUGUGGACCUGACGGACACACAGGACAAUCAAGAUAACUUUAUCCUGACCACUAAAGACUAAAUUAAUCUCAUCCGUGCUUCAGAAAACUCAAAGUGUUGAUAAGGUGGUCUUACAGGACUGUGAGGUCUCUGACACAGGCCUGAAGCAACUACUCCCAGUUCAGCUUAGGUACAGUAAGAGCACUGACUUAUACAGGUCCCUUUCAUAACUAGUUAUACAUUAAUACGUUCAUUUGUUUGAUAAUACACCUGCAUAUAUAUUAUUAAUUCUCUCUCAGCAGUAGUAAAACUCUGCUGCUGCAGUUUCUGGUUUGUAUUAGUAAAGGAACUAAGAGGAGAUCUUUGAGGUGUUUUAAGGCUCUUUCUCUGGCUUUGGGAGGAGAGAUGGGCCUCAGUCACACUCAGAUGGACCAGAGAGUUUGUGAACAGCUGGCACUGUCUCUGGAACAUUCUGAAGGGCUUUCAAAACUGGAUCUCAGCCACUGCAAACUCACUGAUGAAUGCAUGAAGUCACUGAUACCACACCUGCACAAGACUCAGACUCUGGAGUGAGUAACACUGACAGAUCAGGAAUACAGAGACACAGAAGUUGUGAGAGAUAGAAUAAAAGCAUAACUCACUGUUCAAUUUCUUUCUGUUUUUGUAAUAUAUCUUUUACGCGGGGAAUGCAGGGGCAUGUCCCCCUCACUUUUUCACAGGGCAAAUGUGUUUACGCUGUGUCUUUCAUACAGCAAAUGUCUAAAUGUGUAAAUGCAAAAGUUAAAAUUCACUGGUCAGUUAUGUAAUUAAUUCAGUCAAAAAAUGUUAUCGAUUGAGAACCUUAAAAAUAUAUCUUAUAUAUUUAUGUUCGUCUUGUGCUAAUCGUUCUGUCCCCCUCGCUUUUGAAAGGAUUGAAAUGCCCCUGAUAAAGAGGAUGUGUUGUAAAUAACUUAAAACAUGAUGAAACAAAUGAUCACAAUCAUCAAAGGGCUAAGCACUCAUUCUGAGUAGUUUACUAGUAUAAUUAUGAAAUUAAACUCUUAAUGUAUUAAUAAUGCAAUUGAUUUGCUCCGAACUUAAUGGAUUUUAAGAUAAAUGUACAUUAUAUUACAGAGUUAUGAUGAUAUGAUGUUCUGUCUCUUUUAAACACUUAUGGCAGUAAAGCUGUUGGAAAGUUUUUGGUGUUCUUAUGUUUUCGUGCAGUAAAUGUAAACAUAGUCACAAGAAUGUUAACAAUACUAACUAGUGUAAGGUGGUUAUUAAAGGUCACGGGGGUGGCCGUUUCAAUGACACGGGGUGAUAGACCUUUGGAUCUCUGGGCCAAUGAAGUGGCACCCCAAACUCAGGUUUUAAAUCCUUAUGUCUUUUAUUUUCUUGUUUUCUUUUAUUUUCUUUAUCAUUUUCAUGGAAAGCACUUUGAAUUACCUCUGUGUUCAGAAUGUGCUAUAUAAAUAAACUUGCCUUGCCUUGCAUAUGGCACCCGGUCUAAGACUUGCACACAGAAAUUACAAGACCAGUCCAUUAAUUCCAAAUGCUCCUAAGAUAUUAUCUGAACAUUGACAGAUUUUUUUAUUUUUUUUAGAGUAAAUCUUAUUACUCUUAAAAAACAAGUGGCUUUCAGCAAAGGUCUCUCUUUAGGAAACGGCUUUUAUGUGUGAUCU
This is a long non-coding RNA of Myxocyprinus asiaticus (Chinese sucker), 3367 nucleotides long. RefSeq lists it as uncharacterized. NCBI's taxonomy places the organism in Eukaryota, Metazoa, Chordata, Actinopteri, Cypriniformes, Catostomidae. The record is from RefSeq and is a predicted model, not a curated record. The transcript is spliced from 3 exons.